GAUGCUAACAGUAACGAUGUUUGUUUCUGUAGGAGUUGAACGCCACUGUCACCUGCAGGUCAUUCCCAGCACCUCUGAGGAGCCCUUGCCCUAGCCUGGCCUCGCAGGAUCAUGGCUUCCCAUUUUGUGAGCUUUCUCGGUGUCCUGGGUUCCCUCCUGUUGCUCAGACUCCAGCUCGUCUGCCCGCAGCCCUCCACUGAACACAGAAAGGUCCCGCAGCGGAUGGAGGCAGAGGGCGGCCCCGAGGACGGCGGCGCUGCCCCUGGGGUGUGGGGCUCCUGGGGGCCCUGGUCCGC
Fukomys damarensis (Damara mole-rat) is the source of this 296-nucleotide long non-coding RNA. The record is from Ensembl. Lineage: Eukaryota; Metazoa; Chordata; Mammalia; Rodentia; Bathyergidae.